CCUACGGGAGACAGCAGUGAGGAAUAUUGGUCAAUGGACGAGAGCCUGAACCAACCAAGUAGCGUGAAGGAUGACUGCCCUAUGGGUUGUAAACUUCUUUUAUCUGGGAAUAAAACAGGGUAUGCAUACCCUCUCGUAUGUACCAUAUGAAUAAGGAUCGGCUAACUCCGUGCCAGCAGCCGCGGUAAUACGGAGGAUCCGAGCGUUAUCCGGAUUUACUGGGUGUAAAGGGAGCGUAGGUGGCUUGUUAAGUCAGAUGUGAAAGUUUGCGGCUCAACCGUAAAAUUGCAGUUGAAACUGGCAGUCUAGAGUACAGUAGAGGUGAGCGGAAUUCGUGGUGUAGCGGUGAAAUGCGUAGAUAUCACGAGGAACUCCGAUUGCGAAGGCAGCUCACUGGACUGCAACUGACACUGAUGCUCGAAAGUGUGGGUAUCAAACAGGAUUAGAUACCCUUGUAGUC
This 460-nucleotide ribosomal RNA is filed under the name uncultured bacterium. RNAcentral's name for it is "partial 16S ribosomal RNA". It matches the Rfam family "Bacterial small subunit ribosomal RNA", at positions 338 to 795 of the family's 1533-position model. The record is from RNAcentral.